CCUACGGGCGGCUGCAGUGGGGAAUAUUGGACAAUGGGGGGAACCCUGAUCCAGCCAUGCCGCGUGUGUGAAGAAGGCCCUCGGGUUGUAAAGCACUUUCAGUGAGGAAGAACGCCUGGUGGUUAAUACCCAUCAGGAAAGACAUCACUCACAGAAGAAGCACUGGCUAACUCCGUGCCAGCAGCCGCGGUAAUACGGAGGGUGCGAGCGUUAAUCGGAAUUACUGGGCGUAAAGCGCGCGUAGGUGGCUUGAUAAGCCGGUUGUGAAAGCCCCGGGCUCAACCUGGGAACGGCAUCCGGAACUGUCAAGCUAGAGUGCAGGAGAGGAAGGUAGAAUUCCCGGUGUAGCGGUGAAAUGCGUAGAGAUCGGGAGGAAUACCAGUGGCGAAGGCGGCCUUCUGGACUGACACUGACACUGAGGUGCGAAAGCGUGGGUAGCAAACAGGAUUAGAUACCCUGGUAGUC
RNAcentral lists this ribosomal RNA (465 nucleotides) under Vreelandella stevensii. RNAcentral's name for it is "partial 16S ribosomal RNA". It matches the Rfam family "Bacterial small subunit ribosomal RNA", at positions 338 to 795 of the family's 1533-position model. The record is from RNAcentral. Lineage: Bacteria; Pseudomonadati; Pseudomonadota; Gammaproteobacteria; Oceanospirillales; Halomonadaceae.